CUUUCUGCUCUUUGCAACACCUCUCGUCCUUUCUCUCUCUCCUUUCGGCUCUCCUGCCCUCCUCUCCACCCAGGCUUCUUUCAUAAUUAGGCUGGAAGUGGAACUUUCCCCCACUCCCUUGUUUUGAGAUUUCUUUUUCCCCAGUGACCUGGGAUGCACUUUGCCCCCACUCCCUGCUUGCCGAUCCCCUCGGGGUUAGGGCCUCCCUCGCGCCAUUCUCGCGGGCUGCCCCUCCUUGCGAGCCAUGGGAGGCCCAGCCUCCCAGAGUCCGAUCCCUUCCAGCACUGCAGCCCCCUGCGGAGGAAGGAAGAGGCCUCCUCAGAAUGAAUGGCUGAAGACCCGACACAUCGGCCGAGGUGCUACUGACCUAGCAGCUUCUGCCCACGAUGCAGCCGGGAGAAGCUCGAAAAGGUCCCUGUAAAGAAAAACAGAACUGGAAAACGAGAAGCUUCGUUACCCUGUGUGCAGCUCAGUGGCAUGGAGUACAGUCCAACUGUCCUACAGCCAUCACCACCAUCCACCUCCAGAGCUUCCACCUUCCGCAGCUGACACUCUGUACCUUUUCAACGUUAACGCCCCGUUCUCUGCUCCCUCCGGCCCCUGGCAACCACCACUCCACUUUCUGUCUCUGUGAAUCUGACAGCUGUUGGAGUCUCCGAAGAAGAAGGUGAAGGAGAAAAGACAAGAAGAAGCAGAAGAAAGCCAGAUUUCUGGAGCAGAGGUGGAGAUGACAGCAAAGUGGAAGAGAUCCGGGAGAAGGGACAGAGAUGUGAAUGUCUGCUUGGGGCAUGACACAGCCUGGCACUGCUUUACUCAGCGAAGGCACUUUCUGAAGAGCAAAUCUCUGCUGGAUCCUAGUGUGGAUGCCUCUCCCAGGCCCAAAGAGCCACAAAAGCAUCACAAAAAUGGAUCUUGAAAAAAAGACAGUGUGGGUGUAGAUUUUCCCUUGUACUAGUAUUAUUUAUUUUGCUGGUGGUUGUAAUUUUAAAAUUUGUCUCUUAAAGCUCAAACUAAUAAGCAUCUGUUCCCAGGGGAUUAAAAAAAAAAGAGCUGUUCCUAAUUGAUUAACAUAACCAGAAUCCUACAAUGCUGGAGGCCGGAGCUAUGUCAAAACCUACCUUCCUACUGUUUUGUUUUUAAAGAACAAAACCAAAACUGUCUUCGUAUAGACAAGGGCAGCCAGUAUUGUCUGUGUCUCUCAGAUGAGAAAACAUGAAGCUGGGCUGGGCCAGCCACUUUCUCCACGCACUAAUUAGUAGCCCCACCAGCUUUCCUUGUUUCUAAUUCAGGGCCAUUUGCAGUGGACUCUGCUCUGUGUGUAAAAUCCUACCAAGCCUCCUUUCACUGUUUUGCAUUCCAGGAUGUUUCAAACAAAAUGUUAAAUUGGUCCAUAAGAGGAAGGUUUGUUAAAAAUACAAAACUCCCUAGAAUCGCAGUAAUCCCCUCAUUCUUACAAGAAUGUAAACAGGACAUCAAUACAGGGAACAUUUGCCCAUGGAGAAGUCGCCUCUGAGUGAGAACCUUCACUCCUUUCCUUGUGCCAAUUGGCAUCAUUUUGCAGCCCUAGACACGAUCAGUAACCUCGAAAUGAGCUCUCUCGGACUGAAUGAGGGAAAGGUACACCCUCAAAGGGGGAGAGAAGUAAGGGCUUCAGGUUAACAUAGACAGCAGGCCAUCCUAAGGAGAAAUGUUUAGAGGAAUUUACUAUUAGGCUUCUAAGUAAUUCUAUUCAUUUACUUAAAUAAGUACUUUUAAACGCCUGCCUUAUAUGAAACCUGUCACUAUACCUUAACUACAUGCCAGUAUUGUUAAUAUGUCCUUUUUCUCACCAUCUCAAAUCAUAUACAAUUUUCAAGGCUUAGCUCAAAUCCUGCCUCUUCCAGGAAGCCUUCUGAGAUUUUCCCUAUGUUUCCCUUUUAUGUGCUCCCAGCCAGGACACCCAUUAAAGAACAUCAUUGUGCUGUGCUGUCCUGACUGUGUUUCUCACCCCAGCAAGUAUCAGCUCCCUGAGAAGAGGGUCGCCACC
Long non-coding RNA from Artibeus jamaicensis (Jamaican fruit-eating bat), 2026 nucleotides. RefSeq lists it as uncharacterized. NCBI's taxonomy places the organism in Eukaryota, Metazoa, Chordata, Mammalia, Chiroptera, Phyllostomidae. The record is from RefSeq and is a predicted model, not a curated record. The transcript has 4 exons.